Molecule: ribosomal RNA, 340 nt
Filed under: Spodoptera frugiperda (fall armyworm)
Lineage: Eukaryota; Metazoa; Arthropoda; Insecta; Lepidoptera; Noctuidae
Description: partial large subunit ribosomal RNA
Source: RNAcentral
CGGACGCGCGCCUCGAUGCCUUCGGUCGUUUCACGGCUGUUGGCACGGGUCGCGUCCGUCGACGUCCGAGGACGGCGUGCACUUCUCUCUUAGUAAAUACAUCGCGACCCGUUCGAUGUCGGUCUAAGCGCCGUACGGGAGCCCCGUUGCCCCUUCGCGGGGGUAGUGGGACCGCGACGGUGGCCGACCGGCCGUCGGACGGUAGUUCUGACGAAUCGCGCACGCGUUCUACACGCGUCCGGCCCGACGCAAGUCAACGUCGUAUCAUACGUCUACGCCAUAGUGCGGACGUGUGUGCGGCGCGUCUGGUGUCGCAGCCGUGCUGUCUCGGACUGUGCGC